UCGUUAAUCGGGGCAGGGUGAGUCGACCCCUAAGGCGAGGCCGAAAGGCGUAGUCGAUGGGAAACAGGUUAAUAUUCCUGUACUUGGUGUUACUGCGAAGGGGGGACGGAGAAGGCUAUGUUGGCCGGGCGACGGUUGUCCCGGUUUAAGCGUGUAGGCUGGUUUUCCAGGCAAAUCCGGAAAAUCAAGGCUGAGGCGUGAUGACGAGGCACUACGGUGCUGAAGCAACAAAUGCCCUGCUUCCAGGAAAAGCCUCUAAGCAUCAGGUAACAUCAAAUCGUACCCCAAACCGACACAGGUGGUCAGGUAGAGAAUACCAAGGCGCUCGAGAGAACUCGGGUGAAGGAACUAGGCAAAAUGGUGCCGUAACUUCGGGAGAAGGCACGCUGAUAUGUAGGUGAGGUCCCUCGCGGAUGGAGCUGAAAUCAGUCGAAGAUACCAGCUGGCUGCAACUGUUUAUUAAAAACACAGCACUGUGCAAACACGAAAGUGGACGUAUACGGUGUGACGCCUCCCCGGUGCCGGAAGGUUAAUUGAUGGGGUUAGCGCAAGCGAAGCUCUUGAUCGAAGCCCCGGUAAACGGCGGCCGUAACUAUAACGGUCCUAAGGUAGCGAAAUUCCUUGUCGGGUAAGUUCCGACCUGCACGAAUGGCGUAAUGAUGGCCAGGCUGUCUCCACCCGAGACUCAGUGAAAUUGAACUCGCUGUGAAGAUGCAGUGUAUCCGCGGCAAGACGGAAAGACCCCGUGAACCCUUACUAUAGCUUGACACUGAACAUUGAGCCUUGAUGUGUAGGAUAGGUGGGAGGCUUUGAAGUGUGGACGCCAGUCUGCAUGGAGCCGACCUUGAAAUACCACCCUUUAAUGUUUGAUGUUCUAACGUUGACCCGUAAUCCGGGUUGCGGACAGUGUCUGGUGGGUAGUUUGACUGGGGCGGUCUCCUCCUAAAGAGUAACGGAGGAGCACGAAGGUUGGCUAAUCCUGGUCGGACAUCAGGAGGUUAGUGCAAUGGCAUAAGCCAGCUUGACUGCGAGCGUGACGGCGCGAGCAGGUGCGAAAGCAGGUCAUAGUGAUCCGGUGGUUUUGAAUGGAAGGGCCAUCGCUCAACGGAUAAAAGGUACUCCGGGGAUAACAGGCUGAUACCGCCCAAGAGUUCAUAUCGACGGCGGUGUUUGGCACCUCGAUGUCGGCUCAUCACAUCCUGGGGCUGAAGUAGGUCCCAAGGGUAUGGCUGUUCGCCAUUUAAAGUGGUACGCGAGCUGGGUUUAGAACGUCGUGAGACAGUUCGGUCCCUAUCUGCCGUGGGCGCUGGAGAACUGAGGGGGGCUGCUCCUAGUACGAGAGGACCGGAGUGGACGCAUCACUGGUGUUCGGGUUGUCAUGCCAAUGGCACUGCCCGGUAGCUAAAUGCGGAAGAGAUAAGUGCUGAAAGCAUCUAAGCACGAAACUUGCCCCGAGAUGAGUUCUCCCUGACCCUAUAAGGGUCCUGAAGGAACGUUGAAGACGACGACGUUGAUAGGCCGGGUGUGUAAGCGCAGCGAUGCGUUGAGCUAACCGG
Molecule: ribosomal RNA, 1556 nt
Filed under: metagenome
Description: bacterial LSU rRNA
Rfam family: Bacterial large subunit ribosomal RNA
Source: RNAcentral